AGCGAACGCUGGCGGCAGGCUUAACACAUGCAAGUCGAGCGGGCAUCUUCGGAUGUCAGCGGCAGACGGGUGAGUAACACGUGGGAACGUACCCUUCGGUUCGGAACAACUCUGGGAAACUGGAGCUAAUACCGGAUACGCCCUUAUGGGGAAAGGUUUACUGCCGAAGGAUCGGCCCGCGUCUGAUUAGCUAGUGGGUGGGGUAACGGCCUACCAAGGCGACGAUCAGUAGCUGGUCUGAGAGGAUGAUCAGCCACACUGGGACUGAGACACGGCCCAGACUCCUACGGGAGGCAGCAGUGGGGAAUAUUGGACAAUGGGCGCAAGCCUGAUCCAGCCAUGCCGCGUGAGUGAUGAAGGCCUUAGGGUUGUAAAGCUCUUUUGUCCGGGACGAUAAUGACGGUACCGGAAGAAUAAGCCCCGGCUAACUUCGUG
RNAcentral lists this ribosomal RNA (435 nucleotides) under uncultured bacterium. Its description in RNAcentral is "partial 16S ribosomal RNA". It matches the Rfam family "Bacterial small subunit ribosomal RNA", at positions 29 to 507 of the family's 1533-position model. The record is from RNAcentral.